RNA transcript from Pygocentrus nattereri (red-bellied piranha), 3774 nucleotides. It is a transcript of the gene named transient receptor potential cation channel, subfamily V, member 1, with no coding region annotated. The record is from RefSeq and is a predicted model, not a curated record. Lineage: Eukaryota; Metazoa; Chordata; Actinopteri; Characiformes; Serrasalmidae. The transcript is spliced from 17 exons.
ACUUGCAAUGUGAGCGCUUCCUCUUCCUCCUACCUUAUUUCUAACGAAGGCUUGGUUUCCGUUUCAGAACUAAGCCAAAUCAACUUUCAGCUUUAAGGUUUUAUAAGAAGGCAACUGUGCAUUUUAUCUCAGCACACACUGGAUAAUCUACUGCAUGUCUGAGCUGUGACGCUGAAAAGGACAGACAAUGAGCAGACCCUUCUCUUUGGAGGCAGAUGACAGCACAGAUGAGGAGAGGGCAAAGGCCAAAGCGGCGAGGAAGGCAUAUGGGAAGGGCUGUCCAGAGAGGGCCAGGGGGCCAAUGGACACUGACUUCCUAGAGGACCAUGGGGAGAUCACCUGCCAAGUCAGAUUUAAUUUGAACUUCGAUAAAAAAAUACGAGGGAUAGAAAAUGACCCUUCCCAAAAGGAGAAAGACAGGUUUGACAUUAAGAGGCUGUUUGAGGCUGUGUCCAGCGGUGAUGUAUCUAAGCUAGAGGGCCUGCACGAGUACCUGCGCAAGACGAACAAAAAACUCACAGACACCACAUAUCGACCCAAUGGUAAGACAGCUCUGCUGAAGGCUCUGUUAAACCUGAAAAAUGGAGAGAAUGAAACAGUGGAGCACUUGCUGGACAUUGCUGAGAAAAUGGGCCAUUUGGAGGAGCUAGUGAAUGCAGCAUAUACAGACUGCUAUUACAGAGGGCAGACAGCUCUACAUGUAGCCAUUGAGAGGAGGAGUAAGCGCUUUGCUGAGUUACUCGUUCAGAAAGGGGCUAAUGUCCAUGCAAAGGCCUGCGGGAGCUUCUUUCAGCCUCGUGAUGGAACAUGUUUUUACUUUGGGGAGCUUCCUCUGUCUUUGGCUGCCUGUACCAAUCAGAAGGAGAUAGUGGACAUGCUGAUGAACAACAAAGCAGAUGUGAGGGAGAGCGAUUCUCAGGGCAACACUGUGCUUCAUGCUCUUGUGAUGGUGGCCGAUAACAGCCCUGAGAACACAGACUUUGUCACCUCCAUGUAUGACUACAUCCUUAUCACAGACGCUCACAUGAAUCCAAACCAGAAGAAGCUGGAGGACUUUGAAAACAAUCAGCGGCUUACUCCCAUCAAGCUCGCUGCAAAGACAGGAAAGAUUGGGCUGUUUGAACACAUCCUGCAUCGUGAGUUCCAGCAGGAACAGUGCAGGCACCUGUCCCGAAAGUUCACAGAAUGGGCGUACGGACCUGUUUAUGCCUCCCUCUACGACUUGGACUCCAUCGACACUUAUGACAACAACUCUGUCCUUGAGAUAGUCGUGUAUGGCACAGAGAUGCCUAAUCGUCUUGAGAUGCUCCAGAUUGAACCUCUCAAUAACCUGCUGGAAGACAAAUGGAACAGAUUUGCCUGUCGGAUAUUCUUAUUUAAUUUUAUCUGUUACCUCAUAUACCUCAGCAUCUUCACAACUCUUUGUCAUUACCAUACACACGAUAAGCACAUUUUUCCAUUGGAGGCUACCAAAGACUACCUGUGCUUGGCAGGUGGGGUCAUCGUACUUGUUGCAUCGAUAUAUUUCUUCAUUAAAGGGCUGAUGGACAUGAAGAGAAAACCUCCCAGACUGCAAACACUGCUGAUAGAUGGUUAUUCUGACCUGCUUUUUUUCUUUCAGGCAGUGUUCUUCCUGCUCUGUGUUGGACUGUAUGUAUGUAAGAAGAAGGAAUAUCUGGCUUUUCUGGUUGUCUGUCUGGCCCUGAGCUGGAUCAAUCUUCUCUACUUCUCCAGAGGAUCCCAGCACAUGGGCAUCUACAGCGUUAUGAUCCAGAGGAUGAUACUUGGUGACGUCCUGCGCUUCCUCUUAGUCUACUUUGUCUUUCUCUUUGGGUUUUCAGCAGCUGUGGUGACGCUGCUUUAUGAAGACAAAUCACUGGACCAAAGCAACAAGACCGUCUCGGGCCACGGGCGCUCACUUUUUGAAGACAUCCCGUCGGAAGACUGUAAAAAGCCCACCUACAAAAACAUCUCUUUCACCACUCUGGAGCUGUUUAAGUUCACCAUUGGCAUGGGAGAUCUGGAGUUCACCGAGCAGUAUGAGUACAAGCACGUCUUUUAUGUGCUGCUUAUUUCGUAUAUAGUGCUCACAUACAUCCUGCUUCUGAACAUGUUGAUCGCCAUGAUGAGCAAGAGGGUGGAGAAGAUGUCCGAGGAGACCACCAACAUCUGGAAACUACAGCGUGCCAUCACCACCUUAGAUCUGGAGAGAAGUCUUGGUCGGUGCCUGAAGACAAAACUGCGCUCAGGAGUGGAUAAAGUCCUGGGCAAGAAAGAGAAGGAUGUGCGGCGGUGCCUCAGAGUGGAAGAAGUCAACUGGAACAAAUGGAACCGCAACCUGGGCAUCAUCAGCGAGGAUCCUGGAGAUUUCAUAAGAUUUCCACCAACUCCCAGACCUCAGAGAGGACAAAGCUGGAGUGGGUUCUUGCGGGACUUCAGCCGACGAAGGCCCAACACCCUCGCCUCUUUGGAAGAGCAGGAGAUGAGACCUUUGGCGUCCAGCCCAGUCUGAUGGAACAACUGAUGGAACUGAUGUGUCACUCCAGACCCCACCGCAGGAGGGCAGGCCAGGGAGUUUCAGGGAUGGUUCCUAGCCCCCACCUCUCCAUACAGAGUCUGUAGGAAAAUGAACCACGUGCAAUAAAUGCAGGAGAACACAUAACAUGACUUGAACACGAUACAAUAUAUUUAGCUGUUGAGGCUUCUGUGUAAUGUUGAAUGUGUUCAGUGCUUUUCCCUAAUGCUGAAAACGAAUAACUUCUACUGAAUUUAAACGAAUAAAGGGUGGUGUCUGUCUUUUGUGCAGGACUUAGUACAUAAGUGUUAGAUUGGAUCAUUUUCUUAUAUAGCUCUCAUCUGUAGUUAAUCUUAUAAAUAAAUGUCUAUCUUCUCUUUUCUCCUAAAAGGGGACUUACAUCAAUGAUCAUUAAUACAGUACUGAGAUCCGCUUUAUUUCUCCCGAGACGUAGUAAACUUGAUCUUAAGGAAGCCUUUUUUUCCUUCAGAUGUAUUAGAUGUGUGGGGGACCUAAACGUGCAAAGAGGGUAACAUCAAAGAACUUGUAGAGAGGAGAAUUACCACACUGCAAUGUCCUCCGUGUCGCUCAAACGCUAGGCGGCGCUCCUGAGUGAGUCCAAGAUGAAUGGGUUAAGAUGGAGCAUUUAUUUGAGCAAAAUCCAAGUUUAUAACGGCUCAAACAUUUUUACUGUAAAUGAAUACAUUCGUUUCCUGACCACAGAACAGCGUAAAACAUUUUAACACCAGUGCUAUAUUUUUAAGAGCUUUUAAACUCGAGCUAUAGGUGUUUACAACGACGCCUUAUGCACGUUCAUGACGUCAGAGAGCGCGAACAGCCAAUGAGCUGCUCCGCUCGCCAACCAAUCAGCACUCAGUAGCAGUAACGUUAGCGUCCCACUGCUCCUGUUUGCUGUAGAAGAAAGUAAACAUACAGGAGAGUUUUCUCUGCUUUUUUAGUAAAAUACAUCCUUCUGCUUUCUAAAAUUAGAGGAAGGUGUUGGACAAGUGAUUAUAAACUAUUUUAACUUUUCAUUUUUAGCUCUUUAGCGCCAUUGAAGACUCGCUCUCUGGCGCCCUCUGGCGUUUCCCUGGUUUAUUGAAAAACUCCUAGAGAAUCGUGUUGUUUAACUUGAAUGAGAAUGUAGAGACUAAACAUACAAUGAGCAGUGACAUUAUGCUUGUAUGGCGUUUAUGUUUUGUAUCAUGCACUUUGUACAGUUGUGAUUCUUGUGGUUAUUAAACAUUAUGCAGAAUGCU